This 246-nucleotide ribosomal RNA is filed under the name uncultured bacterium. RNAcentral describes it as "partial 16S ribosomal RNA". It matches the Rfam family "Bacterial small subunit ribosomal RNA", at positions 524 to 776 of the family's 1533-position model. The record is from RNAcentral.
UACGGACGGGGCGGGCGUUACUCAUCUUUACUGGGCGUAAAGGGUGCGUAGGUGGUUUUUAAGAGAGCAUUUCUAAAAGCUUUUGUGAGAAUGAUUUGCUUGUAUAAGACUUGAGUUUAGGAGAAGAGAGCGGUACUCACAGUGUAGAGGUGAAAUUCGGAGAUAUUGACGAGGACCAUCGAUGGCGAAAGCAGUAAUCUAUUCUAACACUGACGCUGAGGCACGAAAGCGUGGGGAUCAAACAGG